ACAUGCUCUGCCUCUCUUUGUCUCAAAAAUAAAUAAAACAUUAAAAAACUUAAAAAAAUAGAUGAUGAUGAAUAUGUUGAUUUAAAACCAUAAUUGAUAGAUGAGAAGGCAAAAUGCAGAAUCAGUAUUCAACUCCAAAUCUGCUCCCUCCCUGAUGCCAUGUACCUUCUUUUGUACCAUGCUAUUUCUUCCGUGUUCCAUGUUUCUCCAGAUAAUUUCAAUUUUUAAAUAUCCAGUCAGAUUUUUUCCAGAAUUGUACUCAUACUGGUUUGAAGCUUAACACUUAUUCCAUAAAAAGCAGAAACAGAAAAUUUGUCUUCAUUUUCCUUUAUUUGGGUAGCAUUUAUGUGUUUUUGAAAGUAAGUGAAUUUUAGAUUUUCAUUGUAGCACUUUGGUUUGCAUAUAUGUGUGUUCUUGAAUAGUAGCCAUAUGCUGGUAGUUGAGGACAUUAAGAGACAUUCAUAUAGUGAUUUUUAGUUUACAAACAUUUCAUAUAUAUGAUCUCAUUUGAGCCAAGUAGCAGAUUAUAAGUAAAUAAUUUUUGAUAAAAAUAGUACACAAUGGAAUACAGUUGAUAUUAUUGUAAAUUUUCCUCAGUGCUAUUUCAAACCACUUCUUUCUUCUAACUAGCUCUUAUAAAGAGUAGUUGUAAUAACUUAUUUGUUUACAUAUACUUUUCUCUCUAUAAGACUAUGAACUCUUUGAGGACAAGAGGCCGAUCUUAUUCAUCUCUGUGUCUUAAGUACCUAGUAGAGUCCCUAGCACAAAAUAAACAGUAAAUGUUUCUUGUAUUUAUAUUAAAUGUAACUCUGAAAAGUCAAGUGAUUGGCUCUAAAUCGCAAUAAAUAACUGAUAGCCAAGUAUUCCAGUACAUAUUACUGCUUUCUUCAGAGGCUCCGCUGCCCUUUUUCAAGAAACCAAGCUCUUUUCCUCUGUAACUGAGAAAGGUCUUAUUAGAACUCUUGUACCUGACCCCAUUCUCUAACUGAGAAACGAAGGUUGUUUAGAAUACAUAUGUGCACUACUUAAUCUCCGGCAUUUGUGUUUGCAAGUUAACAUGCUGUCUAUUGUAUUUGAACAGCUGUAACAUAUGUGAUAAGAUUUCUUAAUAAGUCAUUUUCUUGAGCAAUGGAAAUAUGAAUCUGAAGAAUAGUGUUCCCAGUUUGUUAAGUUGUGCCUUUAGACUCUUGGGUUUUAGAUGUAAUCAAUUGCCUAUAAUUCUCUGUUUGAGAAAAGUGGUGAGGAUAGCGUUGUAACCUGUUUUGGAGCUAACAGAGAUUCCAUGUCAUUUUUUGAUGUGUAAAGAAAAGGGAUGUUUGCAACUGUGUUCAAUUGGCUACAUUCUUAUAAAUUUUCCAACGGAAAGAUAAGGCUUAAAAUGAAAAUUUUUGCAUGGUGACAUUCAGCGGCAGCUUGAGUAGAGUGUCCUUUUAUAGUUCCUGUAAUUCAGAAAAUGAUAACAGCUUUCUGCUGCUUAGAAGAGAAGUCUGUGGACUGCUCCCGGUGGGAUUUCAGUUUGUUGUGCCACUUCAUACCAACACCAGCCUGAUAAAGUUCUUAUUAUUGUGGAGAUUUCAAAGUGCAAGAGGACUGAAUUAAUUAUGACAGGUUAGAAAAUACAGGACUGAUACUACAAAUAAAACUUAAAAAAACCAAUACAUGUUCUCCAAGUUUAUGUAACAAAUUAAUUUGGAUAUUUUAAGCUAUUAGUGAUUAUAUAGUUAGACAUUUGCUUAAUAAGUAAAUGCACCUGACUUGUAAAUUGCUGGUGAACCAUGCUAGCUGUUCCAUCUCAAAAUUCAGAAGUUAUCUUUUAUUUGUGUAUCAUUUUCUCAUUUGAAACCAUUACUUCAACAUCUUGCUGUUUAAAGGCAAAUAGCUGUAUUUGAACACUUUCUUAGGGUUAUUUUAAUUUCUUUUCAGUAUUCUCAGCAGUGGAAUAAUUAAAAAUGAAUGUUUUAUAAAUACCAGCUUAUAUAAAGUGCUUCAAAUUCAUAAGAAAACACUGAUAGUAGAGCAUUGUGGUAUGGGAGAAGGAUGGGCAGUUCAAGAAAUAACUGGAGAAAAUAGAAUCUUAUCUGGAGAAAGCAUAGGUAUCCUAAGAAGCCAUCUUUUUCCCCUACACUCCAGAAGCUAGGAGAGUUAGUAGUCUUAAUUCUGGAAGAACUCCUGUAACAGUGGGUAAGUAUGAAGAACCGUGAGAGCUGGAAACCACCAUCUGUGUAGUUGAUACUACUGAAAAGAGGCAAAAACAAACAAAAAACACCAAGAAGAAGCAAGAACAGUAACCCAAAUUAAACCAUGCAAAUCUGAAGGAAAGUAUGAAGUACUUAAAUAUCUUACCCCUAAAAUUUAAAUGUAAUUUCACAGUUAAACAGGAAGCAAGCAGAAUGAGCUGAAUAGAGAGGUAACUGGAGAAUCUGAAGACAUGAAAAAGAACAGAUGUAUUCCCUGAUUUGUAAAAUGCUAGUGAAUCAUUCUAGGUGAACAAGCAUAUGGAUAACACAUGAAUGAGGACUCAGAAGAGAAAUUUGACCUAAAUCAUCUCAUUGGUUAUCUUGGAUUAGUUGUGCAAUUGAAAAGCUGCAGAUCUGAUUUGUGUUACUUGUUUCUAACCUUUCAGUCUCAUUUAGAGCAGAUGUAAACUCAUCUGUCAUAAAAUUCAAAUAUUUGUAAUUCAGACAAAAAAGGGUAACCUUCAGACUAGUGACAAAUAAAUAUGACAUUUUCAAAUGAUAUUUAAUAGACCUUUAUUAACAGUGUGUUACCCCAUGGUGUUCAUUGCAUUUCUUACUUCCGCAGUUAUCUUAAUCAUCUGCUUCAGUAAAUUAAGUAAAAGAAGAGA
Herpailurus yagouaroundi (jaguarundi) is the source of this 2845-nucleotide long non-coding RNA. RefSeq lists it as uncharacterized. The record is from RefSeq and is a predicted model, not a curated record. Lineage: Eukaryota; Metazoa; Chordata; Mammalia; Carnivora; Felidae. The transcript is spliced from 2 exons.